RNAcentral lists this ribosomal RNA (497 nucleotides) under uncultured bacterium. RNAcentral describes it as "partial 16S ribosomal RNA". It matches the Rfam family "Bacterial small subunit ribosomal RNA", at positions 28 to 507 of the family's 1533-position model. The record is from RNAcentral.
GAUGAACGCUGGCGGCGUGCCUAAUACAUGCAAGUCGAGCGAACAGACGAGGAGCUUUCUCCUCUGACGUUAGCGGCGGACGGGUGAGUAACACGUGGAUAACCUACCUAUAAGACUGGGAUAACUUCGGGAAACCGGAGCUAAUACCGGAUAAUAUAUUGAACCGCAUGGUUCAAUAGUGAAAGACGGUUUUGCUUUCACUUAUAGAUGGAUCCGCGCCGCAUUAGCUAGUUGGUAAGGUAACGGCUUACCAAGGCAACGAUGCGUAGCCGACCUGAGAGGGUGAUCGGCCACACUGGAACUGAGACACGGUCCAGACUCCGACGGGAGGCAGCAGUAGGGAAUCUUCCGCAAUGGGCGAAAGCUUGACGGAGCAACGCCGCGUGAGUGAUGAAGGUCUUCGGAUCGUAAAACUCUGUUAUUAGGGAAGAACAAAUGUGUAAGUAACUAUGCACGUCUUGACGGUACCUAAUCAGAAAGCCACGGCUAACUACGUG